Hyla sarda is the source of this 1061-nucleotide long non-coding RNA. RefSeq lists it as uncharacterized. Lineage: Eukaryota; Metazoa; Chordata; Amphibia; Anura; Hylidae. The transcript has 3 exons. The record is from RefSeq and is a predicted model, not a curated record.
CCCACCCCAGGAUGUCGGGCAGAGCGGGGGAGAAGAUGGCGGCCGGUACCUGGGGACUUGCGGCGGUCCCCGUCGAUCAUCGGUGGCAUCAGCGGAGAUCGGCGGCGGAGGCGGAUCAGCUGACUGACAGGUAUACUGUUCUUGGUGUGUGUGGGAUGGGACGAGGCAUAAUGGAGAAUGGAAUUCCUAGAGGUGGACUUGCCGUACCAUGAGGUCACCAUAUUUUCAUUAACAAUGUCAAUUUUGACAUCGAGGAUUUCCAAAUUUUGAUUGCCAAACACCGAUGCAAACGUCAUGUUCAUUGUGUUUACAUUGUUACGCACGUCGCUUCACCUGAGCCUGACGAAGCGCCUUGGCGCGAUAACGGCCCGUCGAUCCGUACCCCCGCGUCUCCACCUCCUGCCUCCCCGCACCCUGUCUCCCGCAUCUGUUCUCAUGAACGAAUAAAGAAGUCCACUGCAGCAAGACCUGAGUGAGUGCUCCGUAUUUUUCUUUUUCUAUUUGGUGAAACAUUUUGCUACUAGCUUGCACGUAGCUAGCACCACAUCCAGGUACUGUACUACUUCCAGGGAGCCAUAUUAUUCCAUCCAGCCGCACACAGCCAGUCUAUUAACCAGGUAGUGCCCGGUUACUUCUGAUCACGAUACAUUGCCUCUGUUACUCUUAUCGUGAGCACACCUGUGACACGCUAAUCAGACACGUGCCUGUUCCAGCGGAAUGGAUUCUCCACCUAAGGAGACCAAUACGGUCACAGUGGGGAGAGCAGACGCGGGGGUAUUCUUCUCCUCGUGCGAAUCACAGGAUGAAGCUCACAUCAUUAGCACCAAAGCAUUGGAAUACAUAAUAUAAAACCCUAGCCGAAAGGGAAAUCCGGACAUACUGGACUAUCCAUUCACUACAAGCUUAUACAGAAAACAAUCGAACCCUGCGAGGGCUACGAGUGUACAAGAUGCCCACUCAAUUCUUACAAGAUGCGGUGUUUGUCCAGGCAUGGUAUGAACAACAUCUUCUCCAUUCUCUUAAUCUACAACAGUUAGUAUUAUCUACAAAUAGAAGCGAAU